UUGGAACCACAAAAGCAACUUGAAGUGAGUUGUAUUUACAAGUUAGAUGUACUUACAAAAUGAAGUCAAAGUUGGAUUAAGGUUUAUUCACAAUGAGUAUUUAGGAAAUGAUUUUUGAAAAGUUAAAGGCAUAAGGCCUAGGUUUCUAGUUUGAAACAAAGUCAAAGUUUGCAAGAAAAGAUUUUGGCUUGGGUUAGAGUGGGGAGAAGAAGAGAAGGGCUAGUCCUAAAGCAUACGAAGAUAAGAGAGAAAAGAUAAA
This 259-nucleotide long non-coding RNA is filed under the name Lathyrus oleraceus (garden pea). Its description in RNAcentral is "Pisum sativum (pea) long non-coding RNA (PSAT_LNC034299)". Lineage: Eukaryota; Viridiplantae; Streptophyta; Magnoliopsida; Fabales; Fabaceae. The record is from RNAcentral.